This is a long non-coding RNA of Pipra filicauda (Wire-tailed manakin), 624 nucleotides long. RefSeq lists it as uncharacterized. The transcript is spliced from 4 exons. Lineage: Eukaryota; Metazoa; Chordata; Aves; Passeriformes; Pipridae. The record is from RefSeq and is a predicted model, not a curated record.
UGCUUCUGAAGUGCCCUGCCCAAGAGCUCUCCAGCAAUCCAAACAGCCAGCAGACAAAGCCAUUAAACCUGAAGUGCCCAUGCAUGAUUACCUGGCAGAGAGCUGCAGGAGAGGGUUUGCAGCUGAGUCCCACAGGAACAGGCUUUGUCUGAAAAACAACCCCCGGCAGGUGCAGACUCGGUUGGAAAAAGCCAAGGCUGCUGCUGCCUGUCCUGCAUCUCCCUACCAGCCAUCCAAGGUUUGUUCCGCAGCCACAGAGGAUCAGACAGAUCAGUGUUUGGGAGCAGGGGCUUUGCUGCCACAGAGAUCUCCACACUCCAGUCCUUGGUCUGCAGCCUGGGAGAGAGCCAAAGCAGUGCUUUGGUGUGUUGCUCCAGCAGCUGGUCAGAGCAGGAGAAUGCCAGCCUUCCAGAGAGAACAGGGAGUGGGGCUGAAAAAAAGGGAGGAAGAGGAGACAUGACUCAGGGGAGGGCAAUGCCCCUUGAAUCAGGAGGACACCUCUGCAUUGAUCAGUGUCCUUGGAUGAGGGAGGAUUCAGGUCGGGAAGAGCAGAGGGCUCAGCCAAGGCAUCAGUCAGCUCUCCCUGGAGAAGUCCUGCUGGCUCCCAACUUGCCAUUUCUGCCA